RNAcentral lists this long non-coding RNA (37952 nucleotides) under Cicer arietinum (chickpea). RNAcentral describes it as "long non-coding RNA (CARI_LNC002133)". The record is from RNAcentral. Lineage: Eukaryota; Viridiplantae; Streptophyta; Magnoliopsida; Fabales; Fabaceae.
CUUAUUAGGAAUUCUAACCCAGAAAAUAUUAUGAAAAUAAAUAUACUAUUUAAUAAAUAAAAAAAUAUAGUAAUUUAAAUAUACACUUCUGACUUCAGUUAAAAUUUAAUGCUUUAUUUGUAUUAUAGGUAAAUUUCCUAUCUUGUAUAUGUAUGUCUUCUCUAGUCUAAAUAAUUCAUUAAAAAAUAAAAAAAAAAAUAAAAAUUGGAAGAACUAAAUUUAUAUAUGCAUUACUUGGUAUGCUGAUCCCCCUGCCCCAAAAAUGAAUCCAGCAGGGAAACUUUUCCGAGUGAGGUUACCGAUUUCAAGAAGAGGAUCUUCUGCAUUUGUGAAAGCAAAUGUUAAUGAUAUCACAACAAAUAGAGCAAACAUAUUAUUGGCCAUAGUAAUCAUAUUUGUAUUACUUGCUUUACCACUUUACUUUUUGUGUUUGAGUCACUGCCUAUUUAUACUGGAUGGAAGACUUUGCCUAUUAAUCCAUGUGCUAGUUUAAUAAUUAUAUUUAUUGAUUAUAUAUUUUUUGGUACUAUAUGAUAUCGGAAGGAUACUUGUGAUGUGGUCUUUAUUAUAAUAAUAAUAAUAAUAAUAAUAAUAAUAAAUAUAACGGGUCUAAACAUUCACACGUGUUUUUUGUCCAUCAUCGAUUUGUGAAACUAAAUGCUCGGCUUGCAUAAUUUAUAUUAUGACAGCUACAUGUAUGUUUUUUAAUAAAGAAAAUUUAAUUUUUUACUAAAAUAAAUGAAAAUUUAUUACAAAUGAGAAAAUUGAAUAUCAACGGCUAAAAAAUAUAACUUAAAUACAAUUCAAAUGGUAGUUGCAACAAUCACUACGUGAAAAAAUCUAUUUUACAGUUUUUUUUAAGUCAUUUACAGCGUUUUUUCAAAAAAAUAAGUGUUGUAGCAUCCAGUGCUGUAAAAAGAUACAACAACGUUUUUUAAAAUAAAAAAACGCUAUAAAAUAGUUAGAUAUAUUGUGCGCUUGUUAUACUCGAUUUACAGUGCUUUUUGAAAGAAAAAAAACGAUGUAAAAGGUGCAUUCAAUAGAUGCAUCAUUAUGCACCUAUUACAGUGAUGUCCUUUAAUUUUUUUUCUAAAAUCAUUUUCAUCCCGAAUCAGUUGAUACAAUCAACACACAACAACAAAACUAUAUAACUUUAUAAUUUAACUUUAUAACUUUACAUAUUUACACAAUCAGUUCACAACAUAUUCAUAUACAUAUUCACAUAUUGACAAUAUCACAGAACUAUAUACAUAUUCAUAUAACUACAUAUUCACAACUUUUCAAAUGUACUCUAUUCAUAUACAUAUAACUAUCAGAACUACACAUAACAGAACUACCAUAUAUUCAUAUAACUAUCCCUUGCAAUAUGUCAUUUCCCAACAAAUCAAAUAAUUUUCAUUUUAAUCACAUACUGACACCAGUCUUCCUUUAUUUCAAUUAGAUCUCUUUCAGAGUAUGUUGGACUANNNNNNNNNNNNNNNNNNNNNNNNNNNNNNNNNNNNNNNNNNNNNNNNNNNNNNNNNNNNNNNNNNNNNNNNNNNNNNNNNNNNNNNNNNNNNNNNNNNNNNNNNNNNNNNNNNNNNNNNNNNNNNNNNNNNNNNNNNNNNNNNNNNNNNNNNNNNNNNNNNNNNNNNNNNNNNNNNNNNNNNNNNNNNNNNNNNNNNNNNNNNNNNNNNNNNNNNNNNNNNNNNNNNNNNNNNNNNNNNNNNNNNNNNNNNNNNNNNNNNNNNNNNNNNNNNNNNNNNNNNNNNNNNNNNNNNNNNNNNUAUAUACAUAUUCAUAUAACUAUAUAUUCACAACUUUUCAAAUGUUCCCUAUUCAUAUACAUAUAACUAUCAGAACUACACAUAACAGAACUACCAUAUAUUCAUAUAACUAUCCCUUGCAAUAUGUCAUUUCCCAACAAAUCAAAUAAUUUUCAUUUUAAUCACAUACUGACACCAGUCUUCCUUUAUUUCAAUUAGAUCUCUUUCAGAGUAUGUUGGACUAGAAUUGUUAAAGUACUGUGUGAUAUAAAAAUUGAACAUAAAUAAGUUUGAAUAAAAUAUAUACAUAGUUUAUAUAUGAAAAUCAAAUAAUGAAAAAACCGGACCGUUUCUAGAAUUAUAGUUUGAUUCAUAUCAACAAUCUCCUUCAUGAAUCGCAAUAUAUAGUACCCACAGUCGAUGUUGUUAGUUUGACGAGGGCACUAUAAAAUAAAACAUAUAAGUCAAUAAAUAUUUGUGCAUUGAUAGCAGUAUAAGUUCAACAUGCAUUUUAGUGAAACAAAAAACUAAUAAAUACAAUACAUGAAAAACAGAAGAACAAUAGGAUUAUGGCGCAUAAAUACAAACAAAGGAGAACAACGUAGAAAUACGAACAGUUCGUAGGAGAGUAGGGUUCGCAGAAACAAAGAUGGUUGGCAAUGACAAGGAGAAUGAAGAGGAAACAAGCGUAUGAAGUUUACGUAAUGAGAGUUAGUAACAAUGCAAUAUUGUUCGUAGGGUUCGCAAUGAGAAGGAGAAUGAAGAGGAGAAGGAAACAAGCGUAUGAAGUUUACGUAAUGAAGAGGAAACUGAAGCGGUUUAGGAUUUAGGGUUUAGGGAUAGUAUUUGAAUGAGAGUUGGUAGGGAUAGUAACAAAGAUGGAGAUGGUUCGCAAUGGAGAUGGUUGGCAAUAUGGUUCGUAUGGACAAUAUGGUUCGCAAUGAGAAGGACAAUGAAGAGGAGGAGGACUUUGAAGCAUAGUGAAGUUUACGAAAUAAAGAGGAAACUGAAGCGGUUUAGUGUUAUAUAUAAAACCCUAUUACAACGCUCAUUGAAAGAGCGCUAUAAAAGACCUCCUUAACUUAGUUUUUUUAAAAGCCUAUUACAACGCUCAUUGAAAGAACGCUGUAAAAAACUCCUUAACUUAUUUUUUAAAAGCCUAUUACAAUGAUCUUUGACAGAACACUGUAAAAGACCUCCUUAACUUAAUUUUUAAUAGCUUAUUACAGCACUCUUUGAAAGAGCGUUGAAAAAAGACCUCAUUAACUUAUUUUUUAAAAGUCUAUUACAGCGCUCUUUGAGAUACGUUCUUACUCAUAAAAGUUUCAAAAUGAUUAUGAGAAAAAUUGAUAUUUAUAAAAUUGAAUUAUAAAGAGCAGACUUUUGGGGUGGACAAACAACCCAAUAACAGAGGGCUUCCAAUAGGAGAACAUCCAAAAAUUUUUAUUUUUAUAAUAUAAUAAAAUGAGAGUGAAUUUUAUUUUAUUUUUUAUAUAUCUUUUAAAUCUUUAUAAAAUUAUGACAUUUUAAGUUUAUUAAUCUCUAAAAAAAAAUUAUUCACUUCUAGUAUCUAUUUUUACUUUAUAGGAACUAAAUUUUUAAUUUUUUACAAAAAAGAAAAACUUUUCAAAAUAAAGAGUAAAAGUAAAUAAUUUUUUUCAAGAACUAAAAAGUUAAGAAUUUUUUUAUAAACACUAAAAAUAAUAUUAUUUUACCUUUUUUUUAAUUAUUAAAAUUAAACUUUCUUUUUAUUAAGGGUGUCAUUUUUAAUAUUAGAAUUGAGUCUCAAACAUGUUUUAAGACGACCUUGAAUUCCACAAUGAACAAUUCAAUCGACCUUUUCAUACAAAUUAAAAAUAUAUAUAAAUUUAAGAAAGAAGAUUAUUUUUAUUAAAAUAUUAUAAAUUAUUGUUCAUUCACCAUGAAUUACCAUAAUGCAAACUAAAAAAAUAUUCAACUCAAACUUAUGCCAGCAUUAUAAAUUAGCAUUUGCAAUUAGAGAAAAAGUAAUUAGUGAGUGGCAAGUAUUUUAUGUUAUUGAAUUUAUAAAAGUUAUUGUUGGAAAUAUAUAAAGUAAGCAACGAUUAAUAAGCCAAAUUGUUUGAACUGUAUUUAUCCUAAAAAGGUUACUGGCCCAAUACGCUACGAGGUCUAAAAUAAAAUUAUCAGAUGGAGUUUUUUCAAAGUUAAAAAAUAAAUUAUUAAUAUUUUUAUUUAAAAUUGAUAUUUUGCACUUUUUUUGAUACAAAAUCAUUUAUCAAAUUAUUGAUAUUAAUUUCGUUUAACAAUUAUUUUUCAAUCGAUAGUAAAGCUAAUCCAUUUAAUCUUUCUUGUGAUAUCGUUGAUCUUAAAUAAGAUUUAAUUAAUUUGAGUUUCGAAAAAGCUUCUUUCUGCUGAAACGACAGUUACAUGAAUUGUUAAUAUUAUUCUAUAAGCAAUAUAUGCAUUUGGAAAAGAAUAUAACCUUAUAUAACCAUCAAUGUCUGAGUUGUCGUUAUGUUUUAAAGAAUGUUCAAGGUUAAUGCAAUUUUCUUUUAAUUUUUUAUUAUCCAAUUAUUUUAAUUUUUCAAUAUUAAAUAGAAAACAAAAAAUAUCUGCACCCAAUUUAAAUUGUUCAAAUCUACUUUGAAAUGAAGUAAUUGAUCUAUCAAUUAUGUACCAAUUUUAAAAUACUCUUCAGAAGAUUGUACAAUGUCAUUAUCAUCACUUUCAUCAAAUUGUUUCUUUCUACGAAUAAUACGUUUUUCUAGAAACAUAGGUUCUAUGUCAAUUUCAAUAGAAAUUUCUUUGGAAGAAAUCAUUGCAUGUUCAAAUCCAUUUUCUCUAUAUUUUUCAAAAAAUAAAAUAAGACAUUUCAACUGUUCUAUAACAACAUUAAUACACAAAUAUUUUGAUUGAAAAUUUUUACUAAUUGAGUUUGCAACAAAUAAAAUAUCAUACUAAAUAGUCAUUAGCAAAAAAUCAAAAUUUUCAAACUUAUAAGUUUCUAAACAAUCGGCUUCACUUUUUAUUUUAGGAUCAUCAUUAACUUCACUUAAUUUUAAUAAAACAUCUCUUAUUUGAGGAGUUUGAAAAUGCAAAGCUUUAACACUUUUAAUGCGACUUUCCCAACGUGUUUGUGACAAUAAUUUUAGAGUUAAACUAGGGAUAUGAUCUUACAAAAAAUUUCAUCUUUUAGUUGAAGAAGAAAAUAAUGUGUAUAUACGUUGUACCACUCCAAAAAAAGAUGUAACUUUAGAACAACAAUUAGCCAUAUCACAAAGUACUAAAUUUAGACUAUGGCAACCAAAAAGAGUGUAAAAUGGUCUACGAUUAAUAUCUAUAAACCUUUUUUGCACACCUUGAUGUUUCCCUUUCAUAUUUGAUCCAUUAUCAUAACCUUAUCCUCUUAGAUUAUUAAUAUCAAGUCUAAUAUUAUUUAUUUCAUUUGUAAUUGUAUCAAAGAGACCUUUUCUAGAUGUAUCAUCUACGGUUAAAAAUUCUAAAACAUAUUAAGAGAUUUGUAUUGGAGUUGAUGAAAGAUCCACACAUCGUAGCGUAAAAGACAUUUGCUUUUGAUGAGUUAGAUCCGGAGUACAAUCAAGUAUGAUUGAAAAUUAUUUUGCAUCAACAAUAUUUUUUUUAUUUAUAAUUUUUAUUUUAAUUUCAUUUGCUAGCAAGAUUAUUAAUUCAUUUUGUAUUCUAUGUCCACAAUAGUGGUUAUGAAUUUCGUUGUCUUUAACUCGAAGAACAUGUUCUUGCAUUAUAAGAUCAAAUUCUGCAAUAAUUUCAAUUAGACUUAAAAAAUUCUCAUUAUUUUCUUGAUAUAACUUUUCAUUUGUUCCAUGAUAAGCUAAGUUGUUUCUUCCAAGAGUUUUAACAAUAUCAAUAAUUCUAAAUAAUACAUUUCUCCAAUGUUCUUUGUCCCUAUUUUCUUUUUUUAACAUCUUUGUCAACUAUUUAUCCUUUUGACAAUCUUAAAUCUAAAUCUAUCCAUUAACUCAUGUUACCGAUGUGUUUACUACUUGUCUCAUGAUUUCUUAAUUUAUAACUAAUAUUUCUUCAAUUCCUACUAUCUUCAAUAGCCAAUUUACUUGUACUGGGAAGAAUAUUAAAUAAUUUACAACAAAAACAAAAUGUUUUAUCCAAGUAUUUAGAAUAAACUAACCAUCUUCUUUCUCGUGUUUCUCUGUUGGAUAAAUUUUGAAGGUAAAGGGACGAAGAAAAGUGUUUUGAAUAUUCAUCCUUAUGAAAAUCUAUAUCAAUAAUUUUAACAUGACCUUUUUCUACCAAUAAAUCUCUCAAACUUGUUUCAAUAUUUGUCCAUUGACUUGAAUCAUAUAUAUUUUUGGGAAUGAAUUCUUCUAAUUCAUUGAUUUCUUGAUUACAAACGAACUCUAAUUCCAUAUUUUCAUUUAUUUCUACAACGUUAUCCAGCUCAUUCAACGAGCAAUCACCACUAUUUUUAAUUUUAGUUUUUUUGGUUGUUUUGAUAAACUUAUCGAUAGCUCCCUUUUGCGAUUCAAUAAAAGCUUCAAUUUUUUGUUUGUUUGUAAUUUUGCAUAGCCUAAUUCAUAUCUUCAACAAUAUUAAAGAUAAUUAGAUAAAUAUUAGAACAAUAGAACUUGGUCGAUAAGAUACUAUUUGAAAUAAAAAUUUCUUCUAGUUUCUGUUUCAGCCAAAAAGAAAUGGUUGAUCCAGUUACAAUUGAAAAAAAGAUUAAUAAUUUAGAAAAAAAAAAUAUUUACUUAAUAUUUAACAGAUGAAAAAGAGACGGAUAAAUUAAAAAUACAUCCCUGGGUAUAUUAUGGCCACAAACAAAAGCUAAUCACACAAUGAAACUUCAAAAUAAAAAAUAAAAUCUAAACAAGGAACAAGGAAGUAGGAUCAAAGGUGAAAAAACUUUUGCAACGUUGAGUAGCAAAAUUUCAGACCAAUCUUUCAAUAGGAAUGUGAUAUUUUAGGAGACACUUCUAGUAAAAAAACAAUAUUUUGCCUUUAAUAUAAGAUAUUUUUUAGUGAAAAGGAAUGCAUUUAUGAUCAAAAGAUUCUUCCAAGGGUAUACUACCCUAAUCUUCAUAAAUAGUUGCAUCAAUUUUAAUUGACUAAUAAUACAAUCAACACACGACACACAAAUGAUUAUGCCAAAAAUUGUAAAUUAAAUUUUUUUUGGAGGCUUUUAUGUGUAUAAUCAAAUAGUUUUUAUAAUAUAUCAUUGGACCUGGAUACUGUGUAUACUGUAUAAAAAUUAAAAUAAAAAAAAUUAUUUUUUGACGAGACUUAAAAUAACGACUUUAUGUAUAUCUUCCUUAUGUCUUGUAGAGCUGUUAAUUUGAUAAACCCCAUAAUUAUUGGCUCCGGCCCACAUAUUGAAGGGGUCAAAAAAAUUUAUAAUUUUAAAAGCCCCAAAAAACAAGGCCCCCUAAAAUUUUGUGGGCUUAGUGGGCCCAUAGGCCCACUUAUUUAAAAAAAGAAUCGAUUUUUUUUUGAGAAAUAAAGUUUUUCGAUUUUUUCACCGAUAAUUUUUUUUUGAUUUUUUUCGAUAAAACGUUUUCGAUUUUUUUCUAUAAAUUUUUUUCGAUUUUUUACAAUAAAAAGUUUUAGAUUUUUUUCUAUAAAAAUUUUCGAUUUUUUUCUAUAAAAAUUUUCGAUUUUUUUCUAUAAAAAAUUUCCGAUUUUUUUUCGAUAAAAAGUUUCUAAUUUUUUUCAAUAAAAAUUUUUUGAUAUUUUUUCGAUAAAAAAUUUUUGAUAUUUUUUUAUAUAAAUGAUUUAUCUUUUAAUAAUUUUUUUUUUCUCACAAUUUUUUUAGAAAAAAAAUAUUUUUUUAUUUUUUUCGAAUAAAAUAAUUUUCGGAAAUUUUUUAAGAAAAAAAUCUCAAAAUUAACAAAAUAUUGAGGGUCUAUAAGUCCAUAGAGCCCUUCCCUUAGACCCCAUGAAAUAAUGAGACUAAAUUUAAAAAAAAAUUAAUUUGAUAGGAAACCUAAUAUUAAAAAUUUAAAAAAAAAAAAUUUAAGAGACGUUAUUGUUGGAGGUUUUUGACUGCUAUGAUGUCUUGACUCUAAAAAAAAUAUUGCUCCGUAUUGGUUUUUUGUUCACGUGACUAUGAUGGGCACGUUCAUGCAUAGGACCACGUUAUCCGUUACCUUGUGCCAUUGCACAUGUGAGUUAUGGGUAAAGAGUUAUGUGUGAUAAGGACAUUAUUAAAAAGCCAAAAAUAAUAAAAUUUUAUUAUAAGUGUUGUUUUAUUACAUUUAAAUUUUAAAGUAUAUAAUUUUUAUUAAAUAAUUAUUUUAUUUAGAACCUUAAAAUAAAAACUUUACCUAAUCUGAGAAAGAGUUUUUUUUGCAUAUUUUAUAUAUAAAUUUUUAUUUUAAAAUAGAGAAAUAUUAGACAAAAUUCCUACCCAAAUCUUAAUAAAUGAAAAGGUAUACAAAAAUUAUAAUUUGCGAAAUAGAAUAUUAAUUUAAUAAAUAAAAAGAUGAAAAACAUGAGAAAUUUGUGAACCAGGAAUAGUCAAGAGAGACUAAUUUUAAGCUCAAAUCAAAUUAAAUUACUUUUUAAAUUACUGUCAAACACAUUUAUCUGUGCGUAAGUAUUCUCAAUUUGUAAAUCGAUGAGUUGUAUAAAAAAUACAAUUGUUGCUAAAAGAAAACAAAUGUCAUUUUAAAAAAUAAUAAUGAACCUUUUUAAUAGCUCCUAAUUCCAACCUCACUAUUAUCUCCCAAUAUUGCUAGCAUUUAUUUUAUUUACUGCAAAAAUACACUCCAAAUAUACGGAGAAGUGUGUAAAACUAAAAACAAAUAAAAAUAUUAACAAAUAUAUUCUUAAAAUUGUAAAAUAGUAAUAAAAAUUGUUCAAACUUAAACUUCAUCGUUAAAAAUUAUUAUAUGACAUAUUAAUUGAAUAUUUGAACAAUUCAUGUUGAUCUCAUUUCGAUGUCAUCAUAACAUGAACUAAAUUUUCAAUAGAAUUUAAAAUAUUUUAUGCACUAAUUUGUCCAUAAAUAGUCCAUAUAGUAUUACAAUUACUCACAAAUUUUUUUUUGAGGUAACAAAUUUCAUCAGCAAAUUUUUUAUAAAUGUAGAUAAGUUAUAUAUUCAAUUACAAUAUCACAUCAAAAUAUCUAACAACAAAAGUUUAUAUAAAAAAUAUUUUGAUUCAUAUCUUACAAUUUCAAUUAUUUAUUUGCUAAUUGACCAAAUUCAAGGACUAGCUUACAAUUUUGAUUCAUAUCUUUCUAUUUCAAUGAUUUAUUUGCUUAUAAUGAUAUUAUGAUAAAUAUUCCUCAUGGGGAUAAAAGCUUGCCUUAUAUAGAGAGAUGAUGUUAUUGAACAAAGAUUUUAUACGAUUCACCAUAAUUUUGGUAACCAAUUUAUAAAUCACACUGCAUAGAGAAAUCCUGAAAUCCAAUCUAACAACCUCAAAUAAAAGAAUCACAAAUCAUAAAGGUAUUGAUGUUUACCACAAAAUUCCUACAACCCCAAAAUUUUCUACCUCUAUUCGGAUCCCAUUUUGUUAUUGUGCGCAUCAUAUGUUUCAGACCACAAACACAAUUUGACAUCUCACGAAUUCCAUUGGAAACGAAAGAACCAUAGUUAUAAGACUAUGGACUUGACCCAUUUGAACAUGUGAAGACCAUGUAUUUCAAUCCUUGGAACUCUGAACAUCAAUUUUCAUGGGUGGGAGAGGAGAAGAACAAACAAAUGUUUUCGAUCUAUGAAAGAGAACAAAACGGAACUGAGAGUAUUUUAAUGUUGCCUUAACGGAAACCCAUUAAAAGGGUAACAAUGCAAUUAUUUAAAAACAUAAAAUACUGAAAUGAGAAAAGAAAAAAGAAGAUAAAGAACUAAGCCGUUACCUAAAAUUAAGUUAAGGGACAACAUGGGUAAUUAUGUCAAAAAUAUAUUAAAUAAAUGAUAUUUUAUAGAUAUUAUCAUUUAAACAAGAUAUUAUCAUUGAAAAAAUUUAUUUACAGUACUUGAAGAGACCAGUUACUAUGAGGGUUUUCAUAAAGAUGAAAGAUAUUAAGAGAUAAUGGGGUAAUCUAGUCCUACAAAGUGUAAGGUGUUGUCUCUUUGGUGUACCGAUUUAGCUAAAAACUCAAAUUAGUUAUCAAAUCAUCAAAAUAGUCACUCAAAUAUAUAACUUAUUAUUCUAAAAGUUCCUGAAAGAUACAAUUUAUUGUCUAAGUAGUCAAUGACCGUUAUAACGUCUAAGACUAAAUUGAUUGACAUAUAAUGAUUUGAAGACAAAUUUGAGUUUUUUGCUUAGUCAGUAACCAAAAUAAAAUCAUGUACUUUUAGUGACUAAAAGAGUGGUUUACCUCAUAAUAAUGUUGUAGUAUUUGGUGUUUCUGACAAUUAUAUGAAUUAGUGCAUGUUUUAGAAAAACCAAAUAUCAAUUUCCCUAUAAUUUGAGUUUGAGUGUCUUAUUUUAUCUAAUUUCACACAUACUGGACUCCUUUCAAAAUAAUCAAUAUUACAUUACAAACUAAAAAUAAUCAAUAUUACAUUACAAAUUAAAAAUAAUAUUUAUUUUAAAUAAUUACUUUUUAUAAAAGAAAACAUUUAUUGUAAUACAGAUGAAGUAUAGGAGUUUAAUUUUCAGUAUAAAAUAUUUUACAUUAUCAAUAUAUAAUAAUCAAUUAUUUAUAUAACUAUAGAAAUAGUUAAAAUUAAAGUUAAAAAUAUGAUGAUUAUGAUUUUUUUUAUAACAAAAAUUAUAAUUUAUCGACGGUGUCGAUAGACAUCAAAAAGUGUAUAAAUUAAAUUUACAGUAUACUAAGAAGAUACACAAUUAGUUAAAUUAACGAUAAAAAUUAAAGAUAAAAACAUAAAAUUAAUCGUUGAAUUGGUAGUGUCUAACAUAGAGACAGAUUUUACCUUUUUUUCAUCUAUAACUUUCCAUCAUUAUUUCAAUUUCUUUAGUAUCAAUAAUAUUUUAUUAAACAUACAUUGAAAUCGGAAUUUUAAUUUUUUUUUUGUCAAAACCGUAAAUGACGAAUACCAUGGACAGAGUGAUAUUUCGAAAACAACACUCUUUAAUGAGUAGUAUUGUCUCUUCUUACAUUUGAAAAUAGGAAAAUAUAAAAUUGCUGUCAAAUAGACCAUACAUAAGAUUUCGAAAUAUUUUAAAACAAUAAUAGUGAUUUGUAUUGUUUCAUCUUACCCAUGUGUUUUACAUUUGAAAAUAAAAAAUAAAUAAAAUUGCUGUCAAUUAAUGACACAUUAGUUGUCCUAUCUUGAUCUCUUUGUUUUUUGCUACUUGUACUUAGCAACACUCUUUUAACAAUUCAAUAAUAAUAAUAUUGCUGCUCAUCUUCGUACUUCAAAUGAAUAAAUAAAUAAUAAAUUUCUUCUAGAAAUGAGUAAACGAUAAGUUUGUUAAUUUUAACUUAUCUUGAUUAGAACAUACAUAUCUUACAAAGAUAUUUUUAAAGUUAAAAAAUCAGACGGAAGGGUAGGUAUAUAUGCACAAGGAGUGAAAGAUAAGUUUGUUAAUCUUCACUUAUCUUGAUUAGAACAUACAUAUCUUACUAUGAUACACUACUCCUACUUAGUUGUCUUAUUAUAAAUCCAUUUGUUAUUUUAAAAAUGAGGAAAGAGAAAAGAUUUUGUAGAUUUCAAUUUGAUAUAUGAAAUUAUAAUAUUUUAAUUUGGUCUUGUACUUUAAUAAUAAUUUCUUUUUAAAUUCAUAUAUUAUGUGAGUUAACGAUACUAAACAUAUCAUAAUGUGUCUCUUAAAUGUAAUAUUAGAUAAUUAAAAUAGGAAUUUUUACGAUACAUUUUUAAAUUGAUAUAUUUUAAUAUUAUUACAUUAAUUAGUCAAUAAUCUAAUGAUAUAAUUUCGUCAAUCAAAAAUAUUUAUGUAAUCAAUCUUUAAUAUAUAUUAACAUAGAUGAAUUAAUAAUAAAUUAACUCAAUUAUUAAUUAAUUUUUUUAAUAAUAUUAAUAUAGUUUUUCUUCUCUGUAAUAAAUUGUAUUAAAAUAGUUUUAAACUUUGUAUCACAAUCUCAAAUUUAUUUAUAAGAAUAAGUAUUUUUUAUUUAAUAAUUAGUAGUUGAUUCUAAAACAUUUUUCAUAUUCUUUCUUCCAUAAAUAUCAAUUACUAAAUUUCUUUGGUGAUGAUAUGUCAAAUAUAUGUAUCAUUGUAAGUCAUAGUCACAUAGAAAAUUCAAAAACAUUAUAUAAAGAUUAAAUUUCCUCUCCAAAUAAUGUAAGUUUAAUUUAAUUUAUUUAAAUAAUGUAAUGUAAAAAACAACGUGCUAUAAUCAUGAUCUGUCUUACUCCGUUAUUGGAGGAAUAAAGAUUACUUAAUUCAAAUGAAAGCAGACGAGAGUAGGAGAGUAGGUAUAUGCACGAGGAAAAUCCAGUAUUCCUACUUCUGCGUCUUCCUUACAAAUCACUUUCUCAUUUUUAAAAUCAGUAAACUACCAAAAUUGGUAUUUGAUUCUGCAUGGCCCUCUCAUUUUAGUCCAUUAGAACAUGAAUAUUUUAUUCUUUAGUCUUAAUUUUAUUGACAAAUAUCAAUAUUGUUAAGUUGAAUAUUAUAUCUUAGAUUUAAACUUGAGACCUCACAUCGUGUGUGUGAGUUUCUGAUGAUAUAUAUUAUCUUGUCUACAAACAAACAAAAAGAACAUGACUAUUGAAUUUGUUUGUUUACAUUGUAAAUGUUUCUCAUAUUCGUCAUUUGGUGAAUUAACAUUACUAAAUGUCGUUGACGUGUGUCUAUUAAUUGUAAUGUCGUCAAUCAAAAUAGUUUAUGACUUUGUAGGACACUAUAUAAUUAAUAUAUAAAAAUAUGAAUAAUUUUUAGUCGCUGACUCUAUAAAAUGUUUAUCAAAUUCAUCCUUUUGUGAAUAUUCACUACUAAAUAUCGAUGGCGAUUCAUAUGUUAAGUGCACUCUUGUAAGUCUUAGUUAUAGAGAGAAAAAUACAAAACUUUUGAAAUUGAUCUUAGUAUGGAGCUCAUGUAGGAUUUAAUACUUAAGUGAUGUCUUAAGAUGUUUAUAAAAUAUAUGUGUAUUGGUGUUUGUGGGACAAAGAAUACUUAUUUUAUUCACAUUACACAGAGUCAUAGAGAAGAAAAUAAAAUGCAUGAGUUACAAUGAAAUAUAUAAUAUAUAAUGGUCAAAAUAUUGUAUUUGUGUCUUAUUUUAUAUCAAAUUUUGUAUUUCAAUAACGUUACUUUAAAAAUAUAUAUGAAUUCAACAUAAUUUUUAAGAUAAUAUACUAUUAAUAUAAUUUGAUACAAAAAAAAUAUUAAUAAAAUAUGAUAGUUUCGUUUGGAUUUUUGGUGGGGUGAAAAAGAUACCUAAAUCAAUAGAUAUCAAAAUUUGAAGAAGAUUUGAUCAAGAUUUAUCUAUAACAAAAUAUGAACAUAAUCAAUUUGAAGAAUUUACAAAUGCAAUUUGAACAAAAUACAAAAAGAAUCAAUCUAAAGAAUUUCAAACUCAAUUUGAACAAGAUACAAUUCAGAAUUAAACAAAGACUAAAUUGAAACUCUAAUUUAAACUAUAAAUAGAUAAUCAAGGUUGAAGAAGCAGAUCAUUGAAAACCAGAAAAGAGUAGAAGAACUCAAGCUUAAAAUUCCAAAUUCAUUUUAGAGUUCAAAGAGAGAAACACUUGUUCAAAUGAUAAAUAUUCUCUAAGUGUUUUUUCUUAGAGUGUGAGAGUUAUUAUUACUAUCAACUUUGUUAGAAGCAAACACUUAAAGUUCCAAUCUUUUGUAUCCUAUCCAAUAGUUGUUUAGUUCCUUCUCCAAUCUGUGGUUGUUAGGAGAAGACUUGUCUUAUAGGACCAAUGUGGUUAGUUCCUCAAAAGUUUUAGGUUGUCAUGUUGUUUGGGAAGGCUGCCUUGAAGGGUCAGGUGUUUUGUAAUUCAAGGUAUUUGAAUUGUGAAUUAAAGUCUUCUGAAUAAGAGGACUGGAUGUAGCAAAGUUAGGGGUGAACCAGGAUAAAUUGAUGUGUCAAAUUAUUUAUGUUUUCAUUGUUUGCUACCUCUAAAUAUGAUUGUUUCUUAUCUAAGUAAUUUAUAAAAACCAACCUUCAUCAAAUUAGCAAAAAAUUAUCAACUUUGGCAAACACAAUUCAAUUCCUCUUCUCGUGUUUGCUCAUUCAAUUGGCAUCAGAGCUCGGUCUCAAGGCUGAGCACUGUACAGUUUUUGAGGAAAGAUCCAAGGGUUCAACAUGUCUGGUUUCAGUGAAUAAGUAGAUGAAGAAAUUAAGAUAUUCUCUGAAUUUAUUCGAUCUGAUUUAGUUACUGCUAUAAAUGAUUUUUUUUUAAAUAAGAAUCACAAAUUAUCUUAAAAAAUAAAAACACUUAGGAAAGAAAAUACAAACCUAACUGAAAAAGUUAAUGUUUUAAAGAAUUAAAGUGAUGAAUUUAAAACAAAAAAUUCAACUCUGAAAACUGAUAUUACUAAUUUUAAAAUAGAAAAUGUAACUUUGAAAACUGAUAUUACUGAACUUAAAACAAAAAAUGCAAAUUUGAAAACUGAUAUUGCUAAAAUGAAAGCUGGAAAUCUAACUUUGAAAAGUAAUUAUAGUUCAACAUCAAUUGAAAAUACCAUUUGUAAGUCUGAUAAGCAUGAAGACGUAUUUCAAGAUUUUCUUCAUAAUGGUAUGGAAAAAAGCAAGUAUGCAUAUAUGAUUUAUGGUGUUAGUAGAAAUGGUAAAAGAGGAAUAAAAUUUCAAGAAAAACUAAUUGAACCGAAGUUUGUCCCCUCUAAUGAUUUAUGUAUUAUUUGGUAUAAGAAAGGUCACACUAAAAUAUCUUGUCCUAUGCUAACCACAUGAAAAGACAAGAAAUCUUUAAGAUAUAACAAACCAUAACCCAACAAGAUUUGGGUACCAAAAGAUAAUAUGUUGCAGAUGUUAUAAGCAACCAAAUUGAAACACCAGCCAUGGUGUCUGAUCAUUGGAUGCUUGCAAGAUAUGAACGAAAAAAUGUCUAUGUUCUAAGAUCUACCAAACAAAAGCCAACUGAUUCUGGUGGAAGAAGCAGUGGUCAUAACAAUACCUACCAUACAGAACCAUAUGAUGAACCGAAAAUAUUAGAAAAAUCUAACGUAUCAAUAGAAUCAAAACUCGCAAAGAAAACACACAUAACAACAAAACUGGAACUACCAGAAGAAUCAUAAUUAUCAUUAGUUCCCAAAUUACCAGAAGAACCUGAUACUUCAGCAGAAGCAUAAGUGUUAGAUUAACAAUCAGAAUCAAAAGACUUCAUUGAACACUCCAAUAAAAUUCAUCAAGACUACAAACUUGGAUGAGAAUUCAAAUCCCUUCAUCUAGACCCUAUAAUCAGAGAAUAUGCAAAUUCAAAAUCUGAAAAACUAGAAAAGAAGAAAUAUGAAGGUUUUCAUAGUGAAACUGAAAACUGUUGACAUAUAGGUUAUAUAUUUCUUUAAAGUUAAUUCUUGUAUGAUAUUAUGUUUACUAAUAACAAGAAGUUUGAUCUUAAAAAUCAAAGCUAGAUAAGUAUUUUGUAGGUUCUAAAAAAUUUAGAGGAAUAAGGAGAUCCACAAAAUCUGAACACAAUUGCAGAAGUAGCAUACAAGUUUGGUUUUCAGAAACAAGCAGAAAUCACCAGAAACAAAACUGGUGUUUCGACUGUAUUGAUUUCAUUGUUCAAUUAUCUUAUUUAUAUUAGUUGAAGAUACUACAGGUUUACCAGAACCAGAGGAAGCAGAUCCAGAUAAACCAGAAGAUAACAAAUCUUUAGACGAUGAAUCUGAUCAAGUUAGAAAAAGUCAAGAUAAGUCAAAAGAAAGAUCUGGAUGGAAGUACAAGUCAUCUCAUCUCAUUGGAAGUGCAAGUGAUCAUUUGAGGAUCAAAUCAUCAUUAAAAGAUAUCACUUUGUUUGGCUCACUCUCAUCGAUUGAGUCGACCACUGUUAAUGAAGCAUUGGUAGAUGAUGGACGGAUUUUUGCAAUGCAUGAAGAGUUAAAUUAAUUUAAAAUAAAUGAUGUUUGGGAUCUAGUACCGAGACUAAAGAAGAAUAUUAUUAGAACCAAAUGGAUUUUCAUAAAUAAGCUAAAUGAAAAAGGUGAAGUGGUAAAAAAAAAAAAAGCAAGACUUGUCGCACAAGGCUCCAAUUAGCAAGAAGGCAUUGAUUACACUAAGACAUUUGCUCCAAUAACGAGGUUUGAAGUUAUUCGUAUCCUACUUUGUUUUGUUGCAAAUAAUAUUACAUUAUUUAAAAUGGACACUAAAUGUGAUUUUCUAAAUAGUUAUAUAAGUGAAGAAUUCUAUGUUAAACAACCUUCAGAUUUUGAAAGUGCUGAAUAUCUAAAUCAUGUUUUUAAACUUAGGAAAUCUACGUAUAGUCUAAAACAAGCAUCGAGGGUAUGGUAUGAUAGACUUAGUAACUUCUUGCUGAAAAAUAAAUUUGAAAGAUGACAUGUAGAUAAUACAUUCUUUAUAAAAUCAAUAGGAGAUGACAUUCUUAUGAUUCAAAUUUAUCUUGACGACAUAAUUUUUGGAUCUACUAAUGGCAUUCUUUGCCAAUAAUUUUAUAAAUUGUGCAGCUUGAAUUUCAAAUGAGUAUGAUGGAAUAACUUAAGUUCUUUUUAGGGAUACAAAUUCAGCAAAGUCAAGAAGGUUUAUACAUUCAUCAAACUAAAUAUUACAAACCAAUGGCUACACCCAUGCACCUUAUAUGUUCACUUGAAAAAGAUGAUUCAGGCCAAAAAGUUGACCAGAAAACCUAUAGAGGAAUAUGAUAGGAUCCCUACUUUACUUUACCGCUUCCAGACUUGACAUCAUGUUUAGAGUAUGUUUAUGUGCAAGAUUUCAAGAUGACCCUAUGGAAUCACAUUUAACUACUAUUAAGAGAAUCCUUAUAUACCUAAAAGGCAUUACCAACCUUACCUUGUUUUGCAAGAAAACUCCUAAGUACAAACCGGGUGGAUAAUGUGAUUCGGAUUAUGCUGGAGAUAAACUUGGGAGAAAGAGCACUAGUGACAACUACAUUUUUCUACUUGACAACUUAAUAUCUUGGUCAAGUAAGACAAAAACCACCAGCUGGUUGCAGUUCUUAACUACUUUGAAUGAAACAUAAACUAGAAGACUACAAAAUCUUAGAAAGCAACAUAGUAAUCUAUUGUGAUAACAUUUUUUCCAUUUGUCUAACCAAAAACUAUAUUUUACAUUCUAGAGCUAAACACAUAGAGAUCAAAUGCCACUUCAUUAUAGACUUUGUUCAAAAAGAGGUACUUAAAAUUCAGUUUGUAGACACAGAAUACCAAGGGGGUUGACAUAUUCACCAAACCACUACCUGGAGAUAGGUUUGACUUCAUCAAGAAAAACCUAAAUCUUACAUUCAUACCUAACUAAUGUUGUGAUAACUUCAAAGUAGUUAAGCUUUAUAAACGCAAUUUGAACAAAGUACGAACACAAUCAAUCUGAAGAAUUUACAAACUCAGUAUAAACAAAAUAAGAACAUAAUCAAUAUGAAGAAUUUACAAACACAAUCUGAACAAGGUACAAUUUAGAAUUAAAUAAGGACUAAAUUGGAGCAUAAUUUUAAUAUAAAUAGAUACUCAAGAUUGAAUAAGAAGAUCAUUGAAAAGUAGAAAAGAGUAGAAGAACUUAAGCUCAAAAUUUCAAAUUCAUCUUAGAGUACAAAAAGAGAAACACUUGUUUCAAUGAGAAAUAUUCUCUAAGUGUUUUUCUUAGAGUGUGAGAGUUAUUAUUACUAUUAGCUUUGUUAGAAGCAAACACUUAAAGUUUCAAUCUUUUGUAUUCAAUCCGAUAGUGGUUUAAAUCUUUAUUUAAUAUGGGGUUGUCAGGUUGUUAGGAGAAGACUUGGCUUGUAAGGUCAAAGUGGUUAGUUUCUCAAAAGUCUGGGGUUGUCAAGCUGUUUGGGAAGACUAGCUUGUAGGGCUAGGUGCUUUGUAAUUCAAGGUAUUUGAAUUAGUGGAUUAAAGUAUUCUAAAUGAGGAGACUAGAUGUAGCCAAGUUAGUGGUGAACCAGAAAUAUCUGUGUCAAAUUAUUUAUAUUUUCAUUGCUUGCUACCUUUGAAUCUGAUUACUUCUUAUCUAGGUAAUUCAUAAAUUAGCAAAAAGUUAACAACUUUGGGAAACACAAUUCAACCAUUUUCUCGUGUUUGCACCUUCACAUACUUCUCAAUAAAUAUAAACUUAUAUAGAUGUUGCAUCUUUGUUCUAUCAUUUCUCAAAGAUAACCGAUAUGUAUUCUUUUGCUUAUAAUAUGGGUGAUAUUUUUUUCGUCUUUGUUUUUUAAUAAGAGUAGAAUGUGUCUUGGGUGAAACGUGGUACUUUUUACUGAACAUUUUUUUUCUCUUGUUCAUUUAAACCCCAAGAAAAUAAUGCCACUACAAUAAAUCAGAUAUGAUGUGGGUUGUGAUGUCAACGAAUUACAAAAACUAUUCAUCAUCCACCAUCUUUCAAUGGUCUAGGCCUGAGUUUGAAUGGGCAACCACAUAUUUUGGUUGUAGUUUCUCUUAAAGGGUUAGUUGACUUAUACUUUUCACCAUUUUAACAAUCCAAUAUUAAGUAAAUGAGCUGAACAUGAAGUACAUACAAUUCAACUUGUUUGAUUUAUGAGUUGGCUCAAUAAUAUAUAUAAUACUAAAAUAAUGUUUUUCACUAGUUUUAUAUAUGUUUGUGAUAGCUAGCUAGACUUUUGGAAUAAAAUUUUGUGUCAAAAUGUUGAUUCUAUUUAGCUGAGGAUUAUACAAAACAAACAUGUAAUUAAAAAUUAGUUAAAAUAUAAUGAUAAUUAAUUUUAUUUUAAAAGUAAGAAUUUUUCAUUGACCAAAUUUAAAUCUAUAACUUUUGUUGAAGUUGUGGGAUUUUAAAGAAAAGGAGGAGAGAAAAUAAUAAGGGUUUGAAUAUUUUUGAUAAUAGCUUAAUGCUGACUUGAUUACAAAAGACUCAAUACUGAUCUCUAUUUAUAGAAAAACAUAGACCUAAUCCUAAAUAAGGAAUAAAUCAUAAUAAUAAUGAAAGAUAUUCAAAGAUAUCUCUAUGAUUAUAAAUUGAUCCUAAUAAAUAAUUUAAGAUGCAAUAAUAUAAUAUAAAAGAUAUUAUAAGAUAUUUUUUAAUAUUCUAACACACCCCCUCAAGCUAAAGCUUACUAAGCUUUAGCUUGCUACAAGAAAACAAUGUUUUUCUCCACAAAAUAAUAAAAAAAUAUGGAGAGGCAACUCAGGGAUGCAUGUGAAGUCGGAAAGAAUUGCUUUAAAUAUAGCCUAGCCAGAUAGUCUGAUUGAUCAUCAGCCUGAGAGAAAUUCAUGGCAGACAAUUGGACAAAACAAGCUCCGUUCUUCUAAAAAACUGCAUUUGGAAAGCUUCAAACCAAUAAUAAUGGAGACUCAAAAUAUUUAAACUUGAAUAUGCUUCAAGGAGAGAGGCGUGCUUCAAGGAGAGAAAGGCAAGACCAGUGCAUCUGGGACAAAUUGCCAAGAUAAAGUAAGUCAUGAAAAUAAAAGACACCGUUAGAAUAACCACAAACGGAAGAAGUCGUCACUAAUAUAAUUCAUAUGUGGAAGGGACACCACCGAAAUGAUCAUCGGUGGGAAUAGAAGCCACUGUUAUAAUAUAUUAGUAAGAACUAAAUUGCAUGACAAACAUCGAAGACGAAACAGCGCGACUCUAACGAAACGAAGUCGUGAUCAAUCAACGGUAUAAGAAAAUGCGUUCAAAACUGGAGAGAUAACGGUUGUUUGUAAUAUAUUUUCGUUGAUCAAAAUUGGAGAGUAGGGGUCGAUCUGGAACCAUCGAAGAGAAAGUAAUCGUGCACCAAGAAGAAUUCCAUCAGUUGAGUUGCAAAUCUUCCAAACCUGUCAGCUAAGAGCCUACUCAUAAGGGCUGCAACAGCUGCCACGACAAAGGCUAGAGAGUUUCCUCCACCAAAAAUCUGAUCCCUUCUACUAACAAGUGACUUGUGAGUAAAAUCAUACAUUUGCAAUAUCUUAUUAUCCCGAAAAUUAUAAGCACGAUCCAUUUGUUUCAAACACCUUUCAACAGGGUAAUCCCCAAAUUUCCCACAUGGUUUCCACCCCACAAAAUGAGUCACAAGUAGCCACCUAUGAUCACCAAAACCAGGAUGAUAAUUCUCAAUCAUCUCUUCAUAUCGAUCAACCAAAAUCCCCCAAUAACCAUGCAAAUAAUAAUGAUUCUCAAAGUAAACUUUACCACCCCAUUGUUCUUUCUAGCGCCAUGACUUUUUACCCAAAUCAUCGUUGGUUGGUUGGAGCUACCUUCAUAGGGUAUUAUGCGCUAUUAGCUCUUUAGCUCGGUUGGUUGGAGCGCCAAACCCUAAUGGGUUGUGGAAAGGUUUAUAGAAUCCUAAUAAUUUUUUUUUUGCGCAGUGAACAGUACCGCGUGAUGAACAGUGUUGCGACUGAUCUGCUGAAAAUAAACGAAAAGCUAAGGGGUAAACCGGAAUUGGGACACGGUUUACCGAAAAAAUCUCACCGAAUAUUGAAAUGUUAGAAAAGAGAAACUAUAAUUAUAUUCCCUAAUUGUUGGGAACUCGACAGCAGAAUAGAGGCGGGAUCGUUCAAAGAUGAUCGAAAUAGGUUCUAGAUACCAUGUUGAAGUUGUGGGAUUUUAGAGAAAAGGAGGAGAGAAAAUAAUAAAGGUUUGAAUAUUAUUGAUAAUAGCUUAAUACUGACUUGAUUACAAAAGACUCAAUACUAAUCUCUAUUUACAGAGAAACAUAGAUUCAAUUCUAAAUUAGGAAUAAAUCAUAAUAAUAAUGAAAGAUAUUAUAAGAUAUCUCUAUGAUUAUAAAUUGAUCCCAAUAAAUAAUUUAAGAUGCAAUAAUAUAAUAUAAAAGAUUUAUAAGAUAUUUUGUAAUAUUCUAACAACUUUUAAUUAGACAUUGAUUUUAUUUAAAAAAUACAAUUGAUUUACUGAUUUCAAAGGUCAACAAAAAUUUAAAAAAAUUGUCUUUUGAAGUAUGUGAAUUCGAGCUAACACGUUGAUCCAAAUUGUUUAUGCGCUUGAAUUAAGUCGGGUUUGGGCUAAAACAAAAGUUUCUUGUCUGAUUAUGUUGGAACUUAUAGUAUACUAAGUGUGUGUGUGUGGAUUGAAAAAAAAGUCAAGAUUCCCAAGUUUGAUAGCUUUCACACAUUGGUUAGUUUUAAAUUCUAUAAAUAUUGGAGUCUCACAUUGAAUAGUUUACAUACAUUGGACAACUUUCAACACUAGAUAGAGAGUGUUAAGCCUUUUGUGUAAAGCACAUCAAAGCUGAAUGCAUUUCUCAGCUUUUCAUAUUCUCCAUCUUCUGCUCCACACACUUCUAAACCACAUCUUCCGUUUAAGUCCAAUCAAUAUUAAUUAGUGGUCAUGAUGCCAUUGUCUUUUCUGUGUCAAAUUGAUCAUUGUAUCAUUGUUCUUUUGGUUUCAUAGUGAUCCUAAUGUCAUUGUUCCUACAAUUUUAGAAUGGUCAUAAUACGAAUAUCCCUUCUUAUGAAAUUUUGGGCUUAUGUGGUCCUUGGUUAUAGGACUUUUUAAGCACUUAUGAGAAUAAUUUUAAAAGAGAUUUAAAAGUCUAUUUCAUGAUUCCCUAACAGUUUUUCUUAACUAUGAAAAAGUUGCCUACGUGUUUAAAAUGAGAUUUCAGUGGUUUCUAAAACAGCUAAGCAAGAAGAAAAUAAUACGAAAGCUAAAAAAUUAAUCGAGUAGAAUGAAAAUAAUUUCUUAUGCAAUAAUUUUAUCCAUAAUGAACUAUCUCAUAAGUUUGGGAUGCCUUAAUAAAAAAGGUUUUUUUUAAUGAAAAAUAUAUAUAUUUUGAAAAACAAAACACAAGAUUAAGAAGAGUAAAAGAAGUGCUCAAGUAUGCUACUGAGGUAGUUGACUCUAAAAAGUAUGUUGCAAGAAGUAAAGAUUAAUGAAAAUAUUUCACAGAUGAAAUGAUACUUAUGUGCAAAGGGAAGUGGGAUAACUUUACAAGAAGACUUUAUUUAAGCAACAUCGGUAUUCCUUUCAAGUUGGAGCCAAUCCAAUGCGACAGGCCACAUGGAAGCCAAUCAUCUCCACAAUCCGUAAAAUAUUAAAUUGCAUGGAAAGGAAAACACAUCUCUGUUGGUAGAAGUUUGCUUACUCAGUCAGGUUUGGUUACAAUGAGAGAACUGUUGUUGUAGCUUGGAAUAUUACAUGACCCAUUUGGAUAUGCAUGUGUUUGUUGUUUUAAUGCUUUGGAAUAUUGUAAACACUUAUUUUUUGGAUGUUCAUUCACAUCUCAAAUAUGGUCUCCUGUAUAUGGUUGGAGUGGUUAUAACUUCAUAAUUCUCUUAUUAUCAACUUCUUACCGUUUGGACAAAAUCUUAGAGGAAAGAGAAGCAAUAUGAGAAGGCAUACAAGUGGUGCAGGGGAGCACAUGGGUGUGGGUCGACCCGUCAACUUGAUCACUCAAUCCAACCUAACUCGGUUUUUACCCGUACCCAAUCAUUUUUUGGUUCGACCCGACCUAACUCAUUGAAACUUGCUUAUAUAUGGUUUAGCUAAUGGGUUUAACAAUUUGAACUCGUCGACUCAUAGAACCGACCCGAUAACUAGUUGUAUUAUUUUAAAAAUAAAAUUUGUUUGACAGUCCUUCAACCCAAUAGGGUUUCAUUACUCUUCUUCUUUAGAUUUUCAGCAGUCGUCAUCCACCUUAUAUGCGUCCACCUUCUUCUAUUCUAGACUUCUUGAAGCCAAACCGCCGUCCACCUUCUUCUUUUGUAUUACCGACACAUAAAUGAUAUUUAUACGAAUUAAUUAUAAUAUAAGUUAUUAUCAAUAACUGAUUUUUAUAUGAAUGUUGAUGCAAGGUGUUCAUGCGUCUAGAAUAAAUACUGAAUUUUUUUUUAUUUUUUUUUGAGAGUGGGCUUCUGUAAUUCAUCUUCAUUAUCUGAGAGUUUAGCGUUUAAUUUAUUUUGGCCUUGUAAUCUCGUACAUGUCUACUCAUAUCUAAUUUGUGAACGGUCUUUUUCAAAAAAGUAAUCAAAUUUUUUAGUUAAAUACUAUUUAUUAAAAUAAUAUAACAAAGAGGAUGUUGUUUUUGAAAAAGAUGACUAUAAAUAUGCAAGUAAAAUUCAACAAAUAUCGGGAUAGUGGUGAGAUAAAAUUUUCUUUGUUUGAUGAUGUUUUUCUUGAUCCUCGUUAUAAACUUGAGUAUAUUGAGUUUUGUUUUAAAAAAAUGUAUGCAACUGUUAAGUACGAUGAUAUGAUGGAAAAACUAAAAAAUCUCAUCAUAAAUUGAUUGAACACUAUAUUAUUUUGUAUCCCAUUACUAAUGAAGCUAGUGAUUUUAAUACCUUGAAUCUCAACAUGCACUCACAAUCUAACAUUGAAAAGAAGGAUGAGGAUGAUUCGGAAGUUUUGUUUAGAUUGAACAUGAAGAAAAAACAUGGUGAGUUGCAAAAAGUAAGUUGGAUAGGUAUUUGAUAUCGUUUCAGCAAGUGCACUGAAUCGUUGCAAGUAAUAAUAAAACGGUAGUACCGAGUGUCGAACUCAAGGAUUGCGUUUUACUAUUGAAUUAUAUUUGAUUACUAGAAUUGAACAAAAAGGUUCCCAAGUUGAUUGAAAUAAUGUUUGAAAUUAACAACAAUAAUAAAAUUGAUCUUUUAUAAUGAGAAAAAUGUCAGGGAUGAGUUUCACUUCGAAUCCAACCUUGGUGUCUAAUUUGAUCCUAGUUACUGAAUUCCUUUAUUGAAUUAUUACCGAAUUCUCUUUAUUAUUCUUGCCCUAAUGUCUUAGUGACAGAACCUUUAAUUCCAAAGUAACCCAUAAUUCCUUAGUGGAUUUAAGAUUAGAAUUAGUGGAUUACUAGAAUUGAACAAAAAGGUUCCCAAGUUGAUUGAAAUAAUGUUUGAAAUUAACAACAAUAAUAAAAUUGAUCUUUUAUAAUGAGAAAAAUGUCAGGGAUGAGUUUCACUUCGAAUCCAACCUUGGUGUCUAAUUUGAUCCUAGUUACUGAAUUCCUUUAUUGAAUUAUUACCGAAUUCUCUUUAUUAUUCUUGCCCUAAUGUCUUAGUGACAGAACCUUUAAUUCCAAAGUAACCCCUAAUUCCUUAGUGGAUUUAAGAUUAGAAUUAAGCAUUACCGUAUAGAAAUUCUCUUGUAAAUUAUUGCUUUGCAACUAAUUUAAUUGGUUUCAUGACCUGCAUCUAUCCUUAGACUACAAAUUCAUGAAUUUCUCAUCUCAAGCAUUCGUAAAGUCCACUUCCGUUUCAAAAUACAAAUCGUAGAACAUUUUAAUGUUGAUCAAGCAAUAAAAAGCAUUAAGCACAGAGAUGAGAAAAACAAUUCAAUAAACUCAUUCAGAUAACUAGAAAUCAAAUCAGAAAAAUAAGGGUUUCAUCUGGUUACACUCAUCCCUAACAAAUAGGGUUUAGUUACUCAUGACAGAGAUACAAGAGAUAAGGAUUAAAGAAGAAUUACAAGAUUGAUUCCUGGAUGAUUCUUGAUAAAACUGCUCCAAUGCGUUAGAAACGGCUGUCUUUGAGUUUCUAUGCUAGGGCACAAGUCUCCCAAGUUCCCAAGAGUCAAAAAAGAUCCCUAAAACAGUAAAAAUCUGCGUUUUUAUGGUUGCUGGUGCGCGUCGCGCGCCCCAGGCGCGCGUUGACAGAACUGAAACACGAGAAAUGCGCUCCAGACGCGCGUUGACAGAACUGAAACACGAGAAAUGCGCUCUAGGCGCGCAGGGCGCGCUCCAGGCGCUCCAGGCGCACAACAUCUGCUGUCUGAUGUAGUUUGCAUUUUUCUCAUCUUUUGCGUUUGAAUUUGGUCCCGGUGUCUUCAUGAAAGUUGUAGAUAUGGAUCUUAGCUUUCAUUAGCACUUGGAGUGACACUACUUGGACAUCUAGAACUCCAGAUAUGGCUGAAAUACUCCCCAUAUAUCAUGUUGAUUUUUCACCAAAAUUCAGCACUGCACUAAAACAAAACGCAAUGUAAAAUUACGACAAAUUCCUACUUAAUCAACGAAAUAAAAACAAAUAACAUUUUAUUAACUCAAAGAACAAAAAUUAACAAAAUGUAUCAAAUAAAUCAUUAAUUUAACUGAUGAUUGAGGAUAAAUAAGACUAAAACAGUGGGAAAAUAUGCAUAUGAUGAAGAGUCAUCAGUAUUCAAAGUAUGGUGUUGAAGAGGACUCCUCUACAUUUGACGUUCUUAAAUGGUGGAAAAGAAAAACAAAUAAAUAUUAUAUUUUUUCUCGCAUAGCUAGAGAUAUUUUGGUUAUUCCAGUGUCUACUAUAUCACCUGAGUUGGCGUUUAGUACAGGAGGUUGAAUCCUCGAUUCAUUUCUUACUUCCUCAAAUGCCACUAUUUUUGAAGCUUUGAUUUGUAUCCAAAAUUGGAUCAAAUCUCAUAAAAAAAAUGAUUUAGUAGAUGAGUUGGUUGAAAUACAAAAGAUUGAGUCGGGUACGAAUGUUUAUUUUAACUUUCAAAUUGAUUUUCCUUUAUUUUUAUUUAUUCUUUUAAGCAUUUGUUGUGCUAAUGAGAUUGUGUAUUGUAUUUAAAAUUUUAGAGUUGUCUGAAUUAGUACCACUUUAUGUUGGGGUGACUGUUGCUGAGCUUAACACAAUUACUAUUACAUCUUAAGGUACUUGUUAUUGCUUUGUUUCAUGCAUAUUUUACUUAUUUAUUAUUUCUCCUUCUUUAUCUCCUCACUUUUAUUAUUGAUAUUUGAUUCUGCAGAUUCCCAAUUGUUCUCUUCCAUACUUUGAGAAAUUUGUUAAGUGGUUGGACUUGAAGUUGACAUUUGAUAAAUUUUCAUAUUUUAUUGAUUUACUAUUGGAUUCAAUUUGUUGCUUGGAUUUACGAUUGGAACUUGUUGAAUUUAUUUAUGUAUUCAAACAUUGUUGGAUUUAUUUAUUUUUGUUAGAGGUUGUUGUAUUUUUUAAAUAUUUGAAUGAUGUGAUUGAAAUUUUAUAGUUUUUUUAGACAUUUAAGUAUUAAAUAUAUUUUUAUUCAAUAUAUUUUCAUAUAAAAUAAAAAACUAGGUUACUAUUUAUGUAUAACCUGCCAACCCAACUCGUUCUUGAUCGGUUCGGGUUUAAUGAAGAAAAAAAAAAUGAAUUUAAAACUCAACUCAAAAAUAAUCGAUCGGUUCGAGUAUCGGAUUUUGUUAAAACUUGCGUAUAUCUCUAAGCUCGCUUAUGGAGUUGACUGGUGAAGCUUAUGGAUUUUGUGAGGUGGUUGAUAAAGCUUAUGAGAUUUUGAAGACCUAACACUAGAGUUGGUAACCUGACUUAAAGCUGAAGCUCAUUUUAAGGAACAUAUCUUAGAGGUUUAUUGGGACUUAAGUCAUAAGCUCAUGGAUCUAGUAGUAUUGGAAAGUUUAUUCAGUUUGGUAGUUAGUUUGUUAUUUCAAAACUUAGUUAUGCUAACAAUAGAUAUAACUACAAGUUGUAAGAUCACAAGUUUAACGCAAUGAAGUAGAAUUCGUUUUUGUUAAUUCUUCCUAAAUCAAUUUUUGCUGUUAUUUUGGUAUGACCAAAAAACUACUUUUUUAUUCUAUAAUAAUUUUAAAGAGAAAUUAUAUUUUUGAUCAUUUAUCUUAUUUAGUUAUAACACAUAGGUCCUUUAUUUUUAUUUUUUUUAUCAUUUAUCCAUAAGGAAUUAGGACAUAAAAACCGUUCUAAAUCAACAAUGGUAUUAUGACCACUCAAAAAGGGGAGAAGUGGCUCAGAAAUACAUCAAACAUAAAAGGGAGAAAAGGGAAAGUUGAUAAGCGCAUCCACCUUUGGUAUGUUUUUCACAAGAGUUUGACACUCUUUAUAUGUUGAUGGAAGCAAACCCAUAUAUAUUUUCUAUCCAAUGUGGGACUGUAGUAUUUAUAUAGUUGAAAACUAUUCAAUAUAUAAGAGUUUUCCAAUGUGGAACUUCAACAAUUUUUAAAUUCACACACUAACAUACUUUAUGUUCCAACAAUCCCACACUUGAAUUAAGAAAGAUGUUUCUAAAGUAGCGUCAAACGCUUUUAUAAGAUUUUUUUGUUAACAUAGGUGUUUUUCGACUUGAACCUUAACGUAGUAAGUAAGAUUAAGAUUCGACAAGAGUAACUCGUAGUCUUGAACUCUAUCUCAGACAUCAAACCCACACACAACCUUUUCAUAUAGUGAACGCUUUAAGAUUUCUGCCUCAAAAUUACAUAAGAAGCAGUCCGACUUCCACGUUCACUUAGGUGAGCCUAUCAAGAGUACUCAUGUAGCUAGGUACUCCACUCCACAUGGAGUAUAAAUCUCAUUAAGAGUUUCUAUUAUAUCAUCUUAUCAUCGCUUCAGUAAUCAUGCUUCUCUGAAUUAUAAUAGCAUGUUCAUCUCAUAUCAUUCAUGACUUGUUAUUGCCCAUUGAAUGGAUGGUGGUACUUAUUCCCCAAGCACCAGGUUCGAUUCCCAAAAGGCAAAAACUCGAUAUUUCCAAUGGGUGAAAAAUGGGGCGAUAAUGUAUUGAUUAACAGUGCCGGUAACCGUACGGGUUGGGCUGUUACAGUAACAACGAUUCUCAAUCUUUUCGAUGCCACGAUACUAUCGCAGUAGAUCUACAGAGCUGUCAUAGGUUUAUCUCAUAAAAGGAUCUUAUCUAGCAAACAUCUCAACUAACUCGCUUCUUCACUAGCAGUAACUAGUGUUAUCAUUUCAAACUCUAUAGUAGACUGAGUCGAUAUCGUUUGUUUCUUCGAUUUCCACGAUACAGCACCGCCGACUAUACUAAAAAUAUAGCCACUGGUUGUUUUGGAAUCAUUUGAUAAGGUGUUCCAAUCAACAUCACUUUAUCCUUCAGGGACGACAGAAAAUCUUUUCUAUUAUAACUAUGAGACUCGUGGUCUUUUUUAGGUAUCUCAUUACUCUUUCGAUAGCGUGUCAAUGCUCUAUACUAAGUCUACUGAUAAACCUGCACAAUAGUCCCACGACUUAGGCAAUGACGGGUCUAGUACAAUAAAUGGCAUACCUGAGGCAAGCAAAGAUACUCACAUAUUUAGUUUGCCUAACACCUUCACCAAUGUUCUUGAAAAGUUUUGCACUUGGAUCAUUGAUCCGCUGUCGGACACGGGUCAAAUACAAUUAAUAAAAUAUAAAUAGAGGUAAUAACUCAAAUCGUUUCGCAAUGACUUCUGUAAUAAUAAUAAUAAUAAUAAUAAUAAUAAUAAUAAUAAUAAUAAUAAUAAUAAUAAUUGAAAAUUGAAAUUAAAAAGGGUUUUUUUAGAUUUUUAAUUUAACAGAUGAGAAAAACGAUUAAUCCACUUAUUCGAGUUUCAAACCUAUCACAGAUUCUAUCAAUGAGUUUAAAUUCUAAUUUGUGAUUCUAUUCUUAUUUGACUAUAGAAUUGAUCAAACAAGCGUAAUCAAUCCUAUGUGAAUUUGGUUUCUUUGAUUGGAUUAAGCAUCACAAUCAUCAAAAUAUUACAAUUAACGAUCAAGCGUCGCAAAAUUAUAAUUCAAUUAAAUUAGAAACCGAAACCAAAUUAUGUCAAAUAAAUUUAAUCAAUCCUAUUGAAAUUCAAUUUAAACAAUCAAAAUAUCAAUAUAAUCAAAUAAGCAAGAAUAGAAUCAUGAAUCAAAAUUGACAGUGUAAACUGAAUCUCAACGUGUUGAUGAAAUUCUGAACUCGUGGAUUAAUCUUAUAAAAUUAGUCUUCCGUGAAUUUAAAAUAAAAUUGUGUAUUUCUUGUAGCAAUUUAAAUCCUAAUUUUUCCGUCUUUGAAAAGAAACAAAACUGCCAAUAUAUAGUACUUGAUAUUUGACUUUAGGGUUUAAAAACAAGUGACUCGCUAAUUAAAAUUAUUGCAAAAUACCAGAUUACGAAAUCUGCAAUUUAGGCCCAAUAAAAUUUGGAAUUGGUCUUUUCUUCCAACACAAACGUUGUAGCUCAUAUUUUUAAACACCUGUUCAUAUGCGCCAAUCCGAUAUCCAGAACUCAAGUUAUGACCUACAGAGCGAGAAAGAGUCAAAAUACAAAUAAUAAAAUUAUAAUUCAAAUUCGACCCAAAGUUUAGAAACAAGCUAAAAAUAUUAAUCUAAGCUAUAAAGAACUUUUAAAAUAUCAAACUAAAAAGCUAAAAACAUGUGCCCAAAUGCUAUGAUCAAUCAUACAGUGUGCAAGUAAGUUUACAGUCAAAAUAUUUGUACUUCUUUAGGAUCUUUUCAACAUAGUGAGAUUGGUCCAAAGAAAUUCCCUUUUUUGACCUAGUAACCUUGAUUCUGAGGAUUACAAUCGCUUAUCCGAGGUUUUUUUUAAUCAAAGUUGUUAGCAACAAUGAUUUCACAUUAUUUACAGCAUGAGUGUUUGCACCAAAUAUACGAAAGUCAUCUACAUAGAGACAUAUGAUAGUUCAAAUGUUAUUUUCAUAUUUGUAAUAAAUACAUUUUUCACUUUCAUUCACAUUAAACUCAUUUGAUAUAAUUAAGAUAUCAAGUUUUUCAUGUCAAUGCUUAGGAGCUUGUUUAAUACCAUGCAAAGAUCUAUCUAACUUACAAACCUUUUUUUCUUGUUCAUGAAUCACAAAACCUUCAAGUUGUUCCAUAUAGAUUUCAUAUUCUAGGUCACCAUUUAAAAAAGUUGUUUUGACAUCCAUUUGAGGUAUCACCAAGUUAUGAAUAGCUGCUAGUGAAAUGAGUAUCCUAAUGGAUAUUCUAGUGACCAGUUAGAAAGUGUCAAAGAAAACUAUAUUUUCUCUUUGUUUAAAACCUUUGGCUACAAGGCGAGCCUUGUAUCUAUCAACAGUUUCAUCGAGUUUUAGUUUCUUUUUCAAAAUCCAUGUAUAACCUAUCAAUUUGGUAAUUGGAGACAUCCCUAUUAAAUGCCAAGUCUUAUUAGACUCUAGAGAAUCAAUCUCAUCGUUCAUAGCUUUUUUCCCAUAAAUCUGCAUCCAAAGAUGAAAAAGCUUCUUGAAGAUUUGCAGGAUCCUCUUCUAAGGUAUAUGUUGUAUAAUCGGGUCCAUAAUCUUUAGAAACUUUGACUCUCGUACUUCUUUGAGUUUUUAUUUCGCCUUAUUUGCUGCUUUAAAUGUUGAAAGGAAUUUUAUUUUCGUAGAAGUCAACAUCAUUUGACUUUAUCAUCAUUUUUGCAUUUAGGUCAUAAAACAUAUACGUUUUGUUGUUUAUUGCAUACCUAUUGAAUACACAUUCGUAGGCUCUACUUGCAGUAUAACUCGCCUGGGAUCGAGAAUUCUGACAUAACCCAGACAACCCCAAGUUUGAAAAUAAGACAAGUUCAAUUGUCUUUUCUUCAAAAUCUCAUAAAGAGAUGUUUUGUUUUUACAUUUAGGAUCUCUAUUCAAAACAUAGCAAAUCGUCAAUAUAACUUCCCCCCACCAAUGGGAUGCAACACUAGAGUUUAGCAUACUAACAACAACUAGUUUAGUAAGUGUUUUAUUCUUUUUUUCAAUUUUAUUAUUCAUUUCAUGCAAAUAUGGUGCAAUUGUUUCAUGUAUAAUUCCAUGCAAUUUGUAAAACUCAUUAAAUGAAAUAGAGUCAUACUCAGUUCAUCUUAACCUUUCUACUAAAUUGAUUUUCAAUUUCAAUUACAAAGAUCUUAAACAUGUCAAGCACUUCACUUUUAUUAUUCAUUAGAUAUAUGAAAGUUUAGUAAAAACAAUUGUCAACAAAAAUGAUAAAAUAAUGUUUUACAUUUCUAGUUAACGUCUCAUCAAGUUAAUAUAUAUAUAUAUAUAUAUAUAUAUAUAUAUAUAUAUAUAUAUAUNNNNNNNNNNNNNNNNNNNNNNNNNNNNNNNNNNNNNNNNNNNNNNNNNNNNNNNNNNNNNNNNNNNNNNNNNNNNNNNNNNNNNNNNNNNNNNNNUAUGUAUAUAUAUAUUAAAUCUAAAGAUUCAGAUUAUAAGACUACUUAUUUAUUUGAACUUUUUGUUCUUUAUCUUGGCUAUAAAAAUCACAUUUUUUAAAAUUAUUUAAUGAUAACUUUGGAAUUAAACCUAAGUUAUUUAAGUUUGAAAUUUGUGUUCACAUGACAUAGUCUAACAUGCCAAAUAAUAAAAUCACACAACGUUUAAACAGAAGAAGACAUUCUUAAUUUCAACAAUUAAUUUAUACGUGAAUCAGUGGUGUACCAUUUGCCAACUAAAAUAUCAUAAUUAGAGAACUGGUGUACAAAUUUGCCCUUAUGUCUUUAGGACGUUUCGUGACACUGUCCAAAUUGUGCAAGGCGAACUAUUAAACACAAAAUCCCCAUGAUAAAACAACUCAAACAAAACGUAUAGAAGUUCUACUGCACCGUAGAAAACCGUUAUUAAAUUACACCCUCAAUAUGGUGGUUAAAGUCAUUCUCAAUAUGACGGUUAAAACCACUCGUAAUAUGGUAUUAUGACCACUCAAAUAAAUAGGACUACGGUACUAAAAUCACUCUUAAAAGAUUGUAGUAUUAGGACUACUCAAUAAUCGAAGGGACUAUGACACAAGAACUGCUCUAAAACGACAGUAGCAUUAUGACCACUCAACAACCAUAGGGACUAUGACAUAAAAAUCACUCUAAAACGAAAGUGGUAUUAUGAUCACUCAAAAAUCGAAGGGGAGAAGUGACUCGAAAAUACAUCAAGCAAAAGAGAGAGAAAAGAGAAAGUUGAGAAAUGUAUCCAACUUUGGUGUGCUUUUCACAAGAGUUUGAUAUUCUUUAUAUAUGGAUGGAUGCAAACUCACAUAUAUUUUUUUUAUAAAAUGUGGGAUUUUAGUAUUUAUAGAGUUGAAAACUACUCAAUAUAUAAGAGUUUUCCAAUAUGGGAGUUCAACAAAUUUUAAAUUCACACACUAACAUACAAUAUGUUCCAUCAGUUUUAAUUCAAUUAGAAGAAGGAGGAGCGAACUUUAAAAGAGAUGGUUGUUGAGAACGACAAGUGUGAUGGAGUUGAAGGCAUGAGGUUACCAAGGCCAUAAAUAAUAAUUUUUGUGCGUUUUUAUAAUAAUUUGUCAUACUUUAUCACAUUCAAUGUGACAUUUUCAACACAUAGCCUUCAUAUUGUGAUAUCAUCUUAAAAUUUAGGUUGGGUCAUACAUAACCUUUACAAAACUAUCUUAAGUUUAGGACUACACACUAUUUAGAAAUAUUUUGUUUGGCCAUAUAUCAUCAAGUGUAGAAGUCUAAACAUUCAACUUGGGUCAUAAAGUUGAAGAUUGAUGUUAUAUUAAAAAUAUACUUGAAAUUUUGAUACUAAAUGUUAUAUUAAAAAUAUACUUGAAAUUUUGAUACAAAAGAAAAUUUGAUAGAUUUAAAAUUGGUUUUCUUAAUUUGAGGGCUGAUGAUGAAGGUGAUGCUAUAUUGAUUAAUUUUUAUUUUUAAAAAGCUCAAUUAUAAAUUUUUAUUUCUUAUGGAUUUUUAGGAUGAGGAAGAUGUGUCUGAAGUUUAGUUAAGGUGAUAUAUGAGGACAAGUCUAAUUUGAAUUGUCCACUCACUUGUGACGUUUAUAAAAUUAGAAGAUAGUUCAAAUAACAAUCAAAAUAUAAGAAUAUAGUGUGGAAAUUCUAAAUCUAGAAAAAAAAUCACGAUCAUUGUUUAAUGACAAUUAAAGAAAAAGACUAUGUAAAAGUUAUUACAAUAUAUAGACUUCUCUGAAACUCCCCUUAACUCCUCUACAUCCAAAUUCUCAAAAGCAAUUACUUAAACUAUAUCUUCCAACACUCCAAAACAAGAGUAUUAGGAAAAAAAAUGAAUCAUAAACAAACUUAAAGUGUUUAUGACAAGUACAAUUUGUUAUGGAGAACUAGAGCCAUAUAUAAACCCUUGGCCUCCGUCAUCCUUUAUAAUUCUAAGAAAUCUGCUACUUUUCAACUUUCUUCAAUUUCAAUUAAACUCAUCAAUAAUAUCAAGUAUCUUACCCAAGUAUAUUACAGUUCGAAUAAUAUCAAAGAAAGAGAAGAUGUUUAAAGUUUUAGGGCAUGUAAAAUAUUAUGUUGAUUUGUAAUUGUCUUCAACAGUCACUCUAUUUAUUUUAUACUAAUAUAUUAUUUUGUACUUUAAAGGUUCACAAAUAGGAGUCAUUAUUUUUUGAUAAAUAUUUUUGGCAUAUUAUAAUUGGUGAAACAUAACAGUUUUUAUUCAUAUUUGUCUCAAAAUCAAACAAAUACAUGAAGAAUUGGCUCUCUGAUCAUAGUUGUUGGUACAAGGCACUUAUUUUAUAGGUGAGCAUACAAUAGAGAUAAUAGCCUAAAUACUUCACUUGGAUAGAAUCAAUACUAGUUUCUUUUGAGAAAGUUCUGGAACCAUUGUGCAGAAACCUUUGGAUAUCUUUUUAAUCCAUCUUCGUAAUCUAUGUAGUUUAAUCCAAACCGAAAUUGAUAGCCAUCACCCCAUUCAAAAUCGUCAAAAAGUGACCAAGCGUAAAAUCCCUUAACGUUUGCGCCAAGCCUGUAUUUUUGUAAUACAUCAAAUGUCACGAAAUGAAAAUCAUAAUACCUGAGUAUAUAGUAAAAAUUAUAUUUUCAAAAUAAAUAAGUAAAAAAUUAUUACUAAUUAAAAUGAUAAUAAUAUUUGUUUUAUAAUGGCUAUCGUGUUUAUUUGAACUUCUUUUGCAAAAAAUUUACUAUUGUGGUGACACGUUAUAAAUUAAUUAUUAUAUAAUAAUAUAGUUUUUUUUUUACUUUGAAUAAAAAUAUAAAUGAUGAUAAUAAUAAUAAUAUAGUAAAAAACUUACUGGAUUGCAGAACGAAUGUAGUAUAAAUGACGAUAAAAAUAGUCAAUUCUAAAAGUAUCCAAAAGAGCUUCAUUUAGAGGAAGAGUUGGAUCAUUGAAUUCAUCAAUACCUGUAUAUAGUAUAUAUAAAAGUGUCAUGUACAUUAUUUAAAAUCUAAGCAUGACGCUAUAUGACAUGGCCAUUCAUCAUAAAUUCUUAAUUAUAAUUGCAUUCAAGAAAAUUUAUAUGUUUUUUUUUUGUGUACUUACCAUUUUCAUGAAUGUAAAUUGUAGGAUUGUUGUAUUUCUCCUUAAUAUGUAACAAAAGAUGUCGAAGUCCCCUUGGAUAAACAUAUAACCAACUUGAAGCAGCCUGACAUAAUUAUAAUUAUUUGUUAUGUCUGACAUCAAAAGAAUUUAAAUUGUAACAAACUGAUUGAUAACUUGUUACUAGAAAAAUAAAAUUAAUGACAACAAAUUAGAGAUGAAUAAAUUUUCUUAGUCCCAAAUUUUGUGUGAAAUAGAGACAUACUUCACAUUUUUCUCUCUAAUUUUUUGUCAUUAAUUAAAUUUUUCUAAUUGUUAUUUUGGGUUAUCAGACACUUACCCUUGGCCCUAUGGGUAUCCCAUUUUUUUCAACUGCAAUUGCGAAAACAUACAUAAAAUAAUCAAAUUCAACAUAUUUAUCAUAAUUGUUAAUGAGCUAACAUGUAGAAUAUAUAAGUGUACUUACAUGAAGCGUUAGUUCUAGAGUCUGUUGUGUAACUAGGUGGCACAUCCUCUUGAGGAGGUACAUUACUAAUAUAAGUAGAAGUGUAAUAGUUUAAGCCAAUAAAAUCAAAAGAACCCUUGACUAAACGUGAUUGCUCUGUACUGAAUUUCGGUAAUCGAGUUUUCACAAUAUUUUGCAUACUUAGAGAAUAGUUUCCAGUUGUUAGUGGUUCCAUAAACCUGAAACCAAUAAAAUAAAUUAAAAAUUAAUUAUCAACUUGUUAAUCUUUUCUACUCCUUAUUUGUACUUUGAUAUUGUAAGUAUAUCUCAUAGUUUUAGUAUGUCCAAAACUUUGAAAACCACGUGAAUUCAAAAAAAUAAUAAUAAAAAUCACGUGUCAUAUUAGAAAAAUGCUCCUAAGAGUAUUUUAAUACACAUUUUAAAUAACGAGUAAAUUGAAGAUAUUAAAUUGAAUUAAUAAUGAAAGAUAUUGUUAGUUACCAUCCAAAUUGGAAGUCAAGAGCUCUCCUCGUAGCCUUUUCAUCUUCUAUAUUGUCUCCUAGUGGUAAGUACCAGUUAGUUACCAACGUUAUACCAAUCUUGCCAUUUUGUUUUGCCUGCACAUAUAUACAUAUGCAACAUUAAAAUUUAAUAAUAAUAAUAAUAAUAAUAAUUUUGACAAAAAAUUAAAUCAAGACAGAUUUUUAUUCAAUAAUAGUUUUUAAUUAUUUUUUUAGAGUAACAAUUCUUUAAUUAUUAAUUCACGCUAAAUAUUUAUAUAUUAAUCAUUCUCCCCUUUAAAUAUGCACGGACCUACCAAACUCUAAAAUAAAUUAAAUUAGAGAUAGAUUUGAGUUGUGAAUAAAUAAGAAAUAAACCUGAUAUUUGGUCCUAUACAAUCGUACACCAUGUGCAUGAGCAAGAAUUUGAUUGUGUGUAACUGUAUAAGGUUCUGUGCCAGAAUUUCCACCUAGACAUGUUGGAUCUGAACAUCGACCAGGUGCUGUUGUCCCAAUUGCAUAACCACCAUUGCUAAACAUCCAUGGCUCGUUAAACGUAACCCAAUACUUCACUCUAUCUCCAAAUUCUUGAAAACAAAGAUCCGCAUAAUCUCGAAAAUCAUUUCUGAAACAUUAAUAUAGAGUUCAAUAAUCAAUUAUUUUAACAAUUCAACAAAUCAUAUCUAUCAACCCAUUGAAUUUGCUACACUAGGAAAAUGAGAUUUAAAAUAGAGACUCACAUUAUGCUAGAGUUUAAUAAACCACCGUACUCGUCUUCUAAAGCUUGAGGAAGAUCCCAAUGAAAAAGAGUUACUAAUGGUUGUAUACCUACAAUUUUAUUGAGAAUAAUAAUAAUUUUUAACAAAUAAUUACUUAAUAAUUAAAAUGAUAAAAUAUAAAAUGCUAUAAAUAGUUUGGACAGUGUAUUUUGUAUUGUACCAUUUGCAAUUAGUUCAUUGAUGAGAUUGUUGUAAUAUUGUAUUCCUUCAGGAUUUUUUCCUCCGCUCAACUUUCCUUCUAUUGAUACGUAAUAAGAAAAAAGGGGAUGUUAAAAUAGUUGGUGUCAAACAUAGCAUCCAACUAGAUAAUAUUAUAUAUAUAUUUUAAAAAUGAUCGUUGAUCAACGUUUGACUUACUUGGAAGUAUUCUCGACCAAGCAAUUGAAAAUCUGUACGAGUCCAAAUUCAAAUCUUUUAUGAUUUGCACAUCUUCCUAUAGAAAUAAAUACAUAACAGUUAUUUGUUAGAUUAGUUCCUAAACCUUCUUUAUAAAUAUAUCUAGAUGAUGAUACUUAAUGGAAUAUAUAUAUAUAUAUAUAUAUAUAUAUAUAUAAAUAUAUAUAUAUAUAUAUAUACAAACAUACGUGUAAGUUUUUCUAGAGAAACAUUAGAUCUCAAUUUAACUUUAUAAACAUUCAAACUACUUCAUAUUGAACUAAUUAAUUCAUCCCAUAAUAUUAAUUACAUAACAAUAUUAUAAAAUUAUUCUUAUUAAGUAUUUAAUAUUACAUAUUGUCAUAGAUAUUUAAUGGAGUAUAAGAAAUUUAAGAAUAAUAUACAUAAUAUUAAUUAUAGCAUAGAAUUAAAGUUAAAUAAAUAAUAUUAUAAUUUUGACUCCGUAAAUAACAUUAUAGAAAAAACAAACAUAAACACUAAGGUGACGGAUUGAAGAACAACCUUAUAACGGUGAUAUUGAUCAAUGGCGACGUCUCCAUUGCUUCCAUUCGUUAUUCUUUCUGCACAUAUACAUCGUAAAUAUGCAUAUUCACAAUUUAUAAUCGAACAAGAAAUAACAUUAAGCUUUGUUUGAAUUUCAAAUCAAUAGUUUAUCAUCGAAUUUAAUUGAAAAAUAACGUCCAGCUCUUUUUAAAUUUCAUUAUGAAAAUACAAAUUAUAUUUAAUUGAUAAUAAUAAUAAUAAUAAUAAUAAUAAUAAUAAUAAUAAUAAUAAUAAUAAUGCCAAUAAAAAAAAUUAGUUACUGUAUUUAAAUAGAUCAACAAAAAUAUAUAAUUGCUUCAAUAAUAUAUAAGAGAAAUUACAUUUACCUCUCCCGAGGUCACCUUAAAUGACACUAAAACCCUAUUUAAUUUUUAAAAAACACCUACCUUCUCAAGUUUUUUACAAUUUAUUAAUUAAACUAGAAAUGUAAUAUAGCAAUACAAUAUUCUCUGUAUGUUAAUGAUUAAGAUAGAUGAACAAAGAAAUGAACCUGGAUGAUUAUGAGUAUAGGUAUCCCAAAUACUUGGUCCUUUACCACCUUCAUUCGCCGCACCUUCAUACUAUAAGAAAAUCAACUCAAGUAAAUAUUUUUAGCUUUUCAUAUAUUUUAUAUUAUAUCUCAACUUUGUAACAAAUUUUCUCAUUUAUUUGUUUUUCGUUUUUUACAAUUUUUUACAAAUAUAUAAAUUUAUUACAAGCAGCUCAUAUAAAGGUGUUGCAUGCAACAAUCAUGUAAAGAUGUUAUAAGUAUCAUAAGUGCAACUAUUUUUUUUCUUUGUAUUUGGGUUAUUGGCGUUUACAGCAUUGUAACUACAUACAGUCACACGUAUUUUGAUGGUUCGGUCAACAUCGUACCCAGAUGCUGUAUCUAAAAUAUUAUAAAACAAAAGGUUAUAAUAUUUUGUAAUGAUAAAUAGUAUAUAAAUUUAAAUCACAAUAAAUUUUUUUACAAUAACUUAAAAUAGAAUAUUUAAAAAAUGUAUGAAUUAUAUAAUAUAUAUUUUAGAUGUAAUAAAAAUCAAAAUCUACUUUAAAAUUUAGAUUAUGAUUUAAUAUUUAGUGAACAUAUGUUUUGCCAACACCGAUUCUAAUUCACUCUUCACCCAAUUUAAAUUACUCUUCUUAAUAUUUAGUGAACAUAUGUUUUGCCACUAGAUUCUUUUAAGAAAUGUGUUUUAAAAUGAAAAUGAAUUUAAUAAAUAAUUUAUCUAAAUUAAAAUAUAAAUAAAAAUAAUAAUUUUUUAAUUAUUAUUUUUAUUUAUAUUUCAUUUCAAAAUAACGUGUAUUAAAAAAGCGAACAUGCAAUGCAUGUUAGGAAUUUUAACCUACCGAAAAUAUUACAAGGAUAAAUGUACUAUUUAAUAAAAAAAUACAUAAAUAAAUUAAAUUUACACCUGUGACUUCAGUUAAAAUAUAAUACUUUAUUUGCAUUAUAGGUAAAUUUCAUCAUAAAUACUUUUUAAAAUUGAUGAAUUUCCGACCUUAUAUAUGUAUGUCUUCUCUAGUCUAAAUUAUUCAUUAAAAAAAUAAAAAUUGGAAGAACUAAAUUUAUAUAUGCAUUACUUGGUAUGCUGAUCCCCCUGCCCCAAAAAUGAAUCCAGCAGGGAAACUUUUCCGAGAGAGGUUACCGAUUUCAAGAAGAGGAUCUUCUGCAUUUGUGAAAGCAAAUGUUAAUGAUAUCACAACAAAUAGAGCAAACAUAUUAUUGGCCAUAGUAAUCAUA